RNAcentral lists this ribosomal RNA (794 nucleotides) under uncultured bacterium. RNAcentral's name for it is "bacterial SSU rRNA". It matches the Rfam family "Bacterial small subunit ribosomal RNA", at positions 8 to 796 of the family's 1533-position model. The record is from RNAcentral.
AGAGUUUGAUCCUGGCUCAGAUUGAACGCUGGCGGCAUGCCUUACACAUGCAAGUCGAACGGCAGCGCGGGAGCAAUCCUGGCGGCGAGUGGCGAACGGGUGAGUAAUACAUCGGAACGUGUCCAGUAGUGGGGGAUAGCCCGGCGAAAGCCGGAUUAAUACCGCAUACGAUCUUAGGAUGAAAGCGGGGGAUCGCAAGACCUCGCGCUAUUGGGGCGGCCGAUGGCAGAUUAGCUAGUUGGUGGGGUAAAGGCCUACCAAGGCGACGAUCUGUAGCUGGUCUGAGAGGACGACCAGCCACACUGGGACUGAGACACGGCCCAGACUCCUACGGGAGGCAGCAGUGGGGAAUUUUGGACAAUGGGCGCAAGCCUGAUCCAGCAAUGCCGCGUGUGUGAAGAAGGCCUUCGGGUUGUAAAGCACUUUUGUCCGGAAAGAAAACCUUUGGGCUAAUACCUCGAGGGGAUGACGGUACCGGAAGAAUAAGCACCGGCUAACUACGUGCCAGCAGCCGCGGUAAUACGUAGGGUGCGAGCGUUAAUCGGAAUUACUGGGCGUAAAGCGUGCGCAGGCGGUUCGCUAAGACCGAUGUGAAAUCCCCCGGGCUUAACCUGGGAACUGCAUUGGUGACUGGCGGGCUAGAGUGUGGCAGAGGGGGGUAGAAUUCCACGUGUAGCAGUGAAAUGCGUAGAGAUGUGGAGGAAUACCGAUGGCGAAGGCAGCCCCCUGGGCCAACACUGACGCUCAUGCACGAAAGCGUGGGGAGCAAACAGGAUUAGAUACCCCCGUAGUCC